Molecule: ribosomal RNA, 438 nt
Filed under: uncultured bacterium
Lineage: Bacteria
Description: bacterial SSU rRNA
Rfam family: Bacterial small subunit ribosomal RNA
Source: RNAcentral
UAGGGAAUUUUCGUCAAUGGGGGGAACCCUGAACGAGCAAUGCCGCGUGUAUGAAGAAGGUCUUCGGAUCGUAAAGCACUGUUGUAAGUGAAGAAUGCCACAUAGAGGAAAUGCUAUGUGGGUGACGGUAGCUUACCAGAAAGCCACGGCUAACUACGUGCCAGCAGCCGCGGUAAUACGUAGGUGGCAAGCGUUAUCCGGAAUCAUUGGGCGUAAAGGGUGCGUAGGUGGCACGAUAAGUCUGAAGUAAAAGGCAACAGCUCAACUGUUGUAUGCUUUGGAAACUGUCGAGCUAGAGUGCAGAAGAGGGCGAUGGAAUUCCAUGUGUAGCGGUAAAAUGCGUAGAUAUAUGGAGGAACACCAGUGGCGAAGGCGGUCGCCUGGUCUGUAACUGACACUGAUGCACGAAAGCGUGGGGAGCAAAUAGGAUUAGAUACC